UACGUAGGGCGCAAGCGUUAUCCGGAAUUAUUGGGCGUAAAGAGCUCGUAGGCGGUUUGUCGCGUCUGCCGUGAAAGUCCGGGGCUCAACUCCGGAUCUGCGGUGGGUACGGGCAGACUAGAGUGAUGUAGGGGGAGACUGGAAUUCCUGGUGUAGCGGUGAAAUGCGCAGAUAUCAGGAGGAACACCGAUGGCGAAGGCAGGUCACUGGGCCGCAACUGACGCUGAGGAGCGAAAGCAUGGGGAGCAACAGG
RNAcentral lists this ribosomal RNA (253 nucleotides) under uncultured bacterium. Its description in RNAcentral is "partial 16S ribosomal RNA". It matches the Rfam family "Bacterial small subunit ribosomal RNA", at positions 524 to 775 of the family's 1533-position model. The record is from RNAcentral.